GCGACCCCGAUUCUUCCGCUGGUUUUAAUUAUUUAUAAGAACAGAGAAGACGCGCUAGGAUCAUGGUCUAAGACACCAAGCCUAGGGGAGCCGUCGGGAUUGCUUCAAAGCGGUUAACAAGGGAAUGCAUCGAUUCAGUGGAAAUGCCCACACUUCAUCAGAAAAGCAAGUCACAAGGAAUCCUGGCCCACUAGGAAAAUCCUAACGGGCUCACCUGGAAGUGACCAAGUAGAAUGGCCCAAAGCGACAGAUUAGAAGGACGGUCUUUCCAGGAAUCUUACGUGACCCUCAGAGAUGUUACAGCCUGAUGGUUAAGUCCACGUGGCCAGGUUGACCUCGGCGUGGAGACUCAGAGCUGCCUCGCUGGAAGCUCCUGUUUCCUCCACCUUCUGUGUUGAAGCAACAAAGGCAGAGAGAGGCAAACUUCCAGGAACUUCUGGCAGAUCUCAAGCCAAACACAUCCAAUGUCUGGAUCUGUAAAUGGCUUCAUUUACCCCCUCCAACUCCUGCCUAGCUGUAGGCAAUGGAACCUCAUUCAGAGUGUAGGACUCGAUUAGGUAAGCCUGCUUUUCAGGAGGACCCAGGCUCCAUACCAAGGACCUGUAGGUUGACUUACAAACAUCCACAAUUCCAGUUUCAGGGAAUCUCUUCUGGCUUUCACGGGCACCAGGCAUGAACAUGGUGUACACACAUGCAUGCUGGGAAAACACUCACACAUGUAAACCAAGCAAAUAUUUUUAAAAUUAAAAAGAAAGAUCAUAUAAACUAAGGAGUGCAGAUCUCACUCAUAUGUAAGUCCUAGCAUUUAGUCUUUUAGGUGUGUGUGUGGCAAAUCUGGAAGGACUAUAGAAGCCAGGGAGUUAGAAAGGGACCCUGUAGUUGGGUUUUUUUUUUGUUUUGUUUUUACUUUUUUUGCUUUGCUCUUGGGAGGGGGCCACCACCCAGAUCCCCAAAUAAAUACACUGAGACGUAUUCUUACUUAUAAAUGCCCAGCCUUAGCCUGGCUUAUUUCUAGCCAGCAAGCCUUUCAUGUGGACACAGCAUUUGAGCUAAGCUUCUCGCGUGGAAGCAGCAAGUGCUCUAAUGGAUGAUGUGCUGUCUCCCGGGUUCCCGGUCUUACUUGGCUUCUGCUUGAUACAGCUCAGUGUCAGAGAGGAAGUCUCGAUGGGGAAAUCGCCUGUGGCUAUGUCUGUGAGGCAUUGUGUUGAUUGGUGGCUGAUGCGGUUAGGCCCAGCCUGCCGCCACCACCGGCAGUGCCAUCCCUAGGCAGGCAGGCCUGUGCCUUAGGAGAGAGUUAGCAGAGAAGAGAAGCCAGUAAGCAGCGUCCCCCCGGCUUCUGCCUCUCCUCCUGCUUCAAUUCCACCCUGGCUUCCCUCGCUGAUGGACUCUGACCGAAUGUGUAAACCAAAUGUAUUCGCUCCUCCCCAAGUUACUUCUGGUCUUGGAAUUUAUCACAGCAACAGAAAGCAAACUAGGACCCCGCCCUUCUCGUGUUUUCUUGUUCCCUAAAAAGGGAAAGAGGGGUUUAUAACCAAAACAAAAACUACAAAACUUCUUCAAAAUAACGUCAUAGUUCACUUUAGGUCACUACUGGGCGAUACGGGGGUGACAAUGAUGCAUUAUUUGCCAAUGCCCAAAGCUAAGAGGACUGAGAAGAAAUCCUACAAGACACCCCCAGCUUGCCUGUUCUCAUAACUUCCACAUCUCAUGACUCUCGUUCUGCUAAUGAUCGGGUAUUCCGAGGUGCGUCUCCAGACACCAGCUCCAACCCCCACAAUUGCAAG
Long non-coding RNA from Mesocricetus auratus (golden hamster), 1784 nucleotides. RefSeq lists it as uncharacterized. Lineage: Eukaryota; Metazoa; Chordata; Mammalia; Rodentia; Cricetidae. The record is from RefSeq and is a predicted model, not a curated record. The transcript is spliced from 3 exons.